RNAcentral lists this ribosomal RNA (2399 nucleotides) under human gut metagenome. RNAcentral describes it as "eukaryotic LSU rRNA". It matches the Rfam family "Eukaryotic large subunit ribosomal RNA", at positions 1 to 2884 of the family's 3401-position model. The record is from RNAcentral.
AGACGUGUGCUCUUCCGAUCUGAAGCAUCUCAAUAAGUGGAGGAAAAUAAACUAACUAGGAUACUCUUAGUAAGUGCGACCGAAGAGAGUAAAGCUCAAUAAUCUAAACUUUAAAUUUUUAUAAUUUAAAGUCAUGUGAUUUUCUAAACUCAUUGAAAUUUUUAUAAAUUAUGAUUGAAUUCAUAACUAUAAAGAGUUAUAGUCUCGUUAUUUAAAAUUUCAAGCAUGGGAAUUAGAAUUAAAGAGUCGGGUAGCUUGAGAAUGCUGCCUUAAUAUAGGUGGUACACCCCAUCUAAAGCUAAAUAUUGUAAAGAGACCGAUAGCAUACAAGUAGUGUGAACGAAAGAUGAAAAGAACUCCUAAACGGAGAAUUAAAAGCGCCUGAACUUGUCUAGGUUUUCGCAUUUCUUUAAUGCGCCCGUCUUGAAACACGGAUUAGGGAGUUUUACUUAAAUACGAGUCUUUAACUUUUAAAGUAAUUUUUUUAAAAAAGGCGAAAAGAAAUUAACUGGUUUUUUAACAUGGCUAUAGAGUAUUUAAGUCAAAACCCGAAUGGAGGUGAACUAUUCCUGCAAAGAUUGAAGUCAGGGGAAACUCUGAUGGAAGAUCGUUGGCGUUAUUGAUGUGCAAAUCAUUUGCUUUAUGUAGGUAUAGGUGCGAAAGACUCAUCGAACCUCCUAAUAGCUGGUUUCCUCCGAAGUUUCCCUCAGGAUAGCUGUAACAUUUUUAAAUAGUUAAGGAUAGUAGAGAAAUGGGUAGAGGUGUAGUGGAACUACGGUUCUGCAACUUAUUUCCAAACUUCGAACGUUCUUGAUAUAAAAAAUUACCUAAUAGGAAUUUUUUAUUUAAAUAUAUGUUAUAAGUGGGCUCUGACCGGUAAGCGGUCAUGGCGAAAAGGGAUGAACCUAACGUAUAAAUAAGGUGCCUAAAUUUACUAACAAUGAAACCAUUAAAAGAGUCCAUGUAUUUAGACAGCGGGUCGGUGCCCCUAAAAGCAGGUAUCCGUUAAUGAGUGUGUUAAAACUCCCCCGCCGAAUACUCUGGCCUUGAAAAUGAAUGGCGCAUAUAGUAAUACCGAUAUUAUACAUUAAAAUUAUUUCAAAAUUUUAAAAGUAGGGGGAUGUGGAUAUCUUAGAGAAUUUUUAAUUGUAAAAUUGAAUUGAAAGAUAUCUAUUACAGAUCCUAAUUGAAGUAGCGAUUAUCCAGGUUAAUCUCCUGGGGGCUGAUGAGGAGUAGGGUUUCUGGGCAACUUAAACGGACCCAGAGUUAGUCGAUCCUAAUCAAAUUAAAUUUAGAGAAAGGGAAUAUGAAUGAUAUUUCAUAACUAAAAUUAAUUUUUAAAUGGUGACAUUUUUUUAAACUUAUUUCCAUCAAUUAAAUACUGUUUAAUAGGGAUUUCUUUCCUAUAUAACUUUUUAAUUAAAACUUAAGAAACAGGUUAACUGGAGAAUAAAGUUUUAAUUUAGUAAAAUUAUAAUUUCGAUUAUAAUAACGGCUAUUUAAAUGAUCCAUGAAACAAUAAGUUUAUUUUUUCAAAAAUUAAUUUAAUCGUACCGAUAACCGCAUCAGGUCUCCAAGGUGAGUAGCUUCUGGCCAUUGAGUAAUGGUAAUUUAGGGAAUUCGGCCAAUUAGAGCUGUAACUUCGGGAUAAAGCUUGGCUCUGAUGGAAAUCAGAACCGAUAGUUACAAGGAGAGCCCAACUGUUUAAUAAAAACUUAGUGUCGCGUCAUACCUUUAUAAGUAAUAAACGUGACAUGAAUCCUGCUCAGUGCUGUGUUUGUUAAACUGGAUUAAUCCAUUUAAGCGCCGGUAAAUAGCUGGGGUAACUAUGACUCUUAUCAAAGUAGCGAAAUACCUCGUCACUUAAUUAGUGACCUGCAUGAACGGAGCUAUGAGGUUCUCACUGUCCCAAAUUAUCACUCAGCGAACCAACAGUUGUGGGAACGGGCACAAAUUAUCCAGCGGGGAAAGAAGACCCUGUAGAGCUUCACUUUGGUCUAAUCUUGUAUAGUUUCGUUAGGGGUGCAGUCUAGGUGGGAGAUUUUUAAUCAAAUAUGAGAAACCACUACCCUUUCUGGAAUUAUACUUACUAAAAUUCUUUUCUAAAUUUUAGGAUCGGAUUAGAUAGAAAGUUUGGCUGGGGCGGCACACCUUCGAAAAAGCAGCGAAGGUGUCCUAAGUUAAGCUCAGUAAGGACAGAAAUCUUACGUUGAGGAUAAGGCCAAAAGCUUAAUUUACUGUGCCUUUUUGUACUAGGAUCAGUUUGGAAACAAAGGCCUAACGAUCCCUAAUUAGUCUUAGGUGUGUAAGACUUGGGGUGACAGACAAGUUACCUCCGGGACAACUGGCUUGUGGCUGCUAAGAGAUCAAAUCAACGCAGCUUUUUGAUUCUUCGAUGU